UGGGCUACACGGACCCCUGUAUGAGAACUUCUGCUCUAGGGAUAUGGCUGUUGAUUUUUCAUGGAAGGCACAGAUACAGUGAUGGGCACCACUAUAAAACUCUUAAGAUUGAACCCACUGAUAACGUGAGCAUCUUUGGGGCAAGGACCACUUUUUGUGGUGCUAGGCACUGUGCACAUACAAACCUGAGUUUGGCUGCUAGACACUACCACAGUACAAAAAAUCACCACCACCACUGUCUGCUUGUUCCUGAUCCUGGGGUGAGGGAAGUAGAUAGUAUCAACUAUGUGCUGAAUAACCCCUGAGAUAAAAAUGCCAGAAAGAUUAAACCAGUUAAAUUUAUGAACAGAAUGAAUUUAAACAUGAGGUUAAAUACAAGACAAUUAAAAAUAAGAGACAGAAAAAACACCUAGUAUUGCAUACUCUUCCUUCUCUUUUGUCAAUUUAGAGCAAUGGCCUUUUUUUUUAUUUGUAUUCCAGUAACACGUAGAGGCCAACCAGGCCAGGGCCCGAUUGUGCUAACGUGCUGAAAGCAGAGAUGGCAAGUGACAGCGUCUGUCCCAAAAAGUUUAUAAAUCUAAAGCGACAAGACACAACAAGUGGAUGAGACAAGUGGGCAAGGGAUGAAAUAAAACAAACAAAAGGAUAUGCACAAUUCUUUGCCAAUCAGAAACAGUGAUCACAAUUUGCCACUUGUUCAGCCAUUAUCUGAUUGUACUUUCGUGCAAACAAUACAGAAGAGAUGAGUUCUGAAGAGAUGAAUUCUGAUGGAUUCUUACUGAGCACAUUUCCCACUUCCCACAGAAGUGCUUAUCAGAGUAGAGAACUGAAUUUUGGGGGCAGUCAUCACUGGUAGAGUUACUAUGGAGAAUGGGAGAUAGGCCAGCAAGGGAUCCAUUCUCCCAGAGAGCCGGCAGCUGUUUGUAACUCCCGGAACAGUUCAGCCCGUCACAGAACAGCAUCAUGGCCGAGCGUGAUGAUGGAGAAGGCACCUCUGGUGAGUAUGCAAGUCCAAUUAAUAUUUGGAGGUCACAUAUUCUUAUAUUCUGUUUAAUUAAAAAAGGUUAUGAAGUACAGUAUCUAUUUGCUUCCCAGUAGCUGCACCAGGUAGGCAGAGAGUGCCCCAUGAAAAAGGCUGUUUAUAUGCAGAGAUCUACCACAUAUUUUCUUCUUUUGUUAUCAAUGGUAGCAGAUACAGUAAUCAAGAAGAGUAAUUAAAGAGAAAUUGCUUCUAAAGUUGGUAUCUUUCAGUCACUUCUCUGACAGUCAACUGAACCAUGUAAAAUUGCAAAUAUGAAUCAAAAACAGAGCAGG
Molecule: long non-coding RNA, 1314 nt
Organism: Dermochelys coriacea (leatherback sea turtle)
Lineage: Eukaryota; Metazoa; Chordata; Testudines; Dermochelyidae
Exons: 2
Source: RefSeq, a predicted model, not a curated record